Non-coding RNA from Triticum aestivum (bread wheat), 128 nucleotides. Lineage: Eukaryota; Viridiplantae; Streptophyta; Magnoliopsida; Poales; Poaceae. The record is from Rfam.
UUUGUACUCCCCCCGUCCCAAAAUUCAUGACUUACAUUUGUUUAGAUACGGAUGUAUCUAACACUAUUUAGAUACAUCCGUAUCUAAACAAAUGUAAGACUAGAAUUUUGGGACGGAGGGAAUACUAC